UUGAGCCACAACGGUGGAAAGGUCCGAGACAUCAGGCAGAGGCAUCCCAGCGGGAUCCAUGGCCGGAUCUUACUGUAACACUCACGGAGUUGUUUAAGAAUUGAAACAAGUUUAAAAAAUGUUUAAAUAUCGUGGCUGAAGAAUCCCUUAAAGCUAACAGCGGAGUUUUCACUGUAGAGUUCUACGUUUCCAGCAGUGACAACCUUAAUUGAUAAGUGACUUCAUUCUCAAGCUGCGAGAAAUGACUGAACAGAAUGUACUGAGGAGUGAAGGAGCCCCGGGCCAGGGAAAAUGGAUUACCUCCAUAAUAUACAGACAGAACUGUCAAUACUAAUAAGAAGAGCACGAAUAUGGUUGUAAUUGCUAUGUUCCUGUAAUUCUUGG
Long non-coding RNA from Hyla sarda, 384 nucleotides. RefSeq lists it as uncharacterized. NCBI's taxonomy places the organism in Eukaryota, Metazoa, Chordata, Amphibia, Anura, Hylidae. The record is from RefSeq and is a predicted model, not a curated record. The transcript has 3 exons.